UGGAUAACCUACCUAUAAGACUGGGAUAACUUCGGGAAACCGGAGCUAAUACCGGAUAACAUGUUGAACCGCAUGGUUCAACAGUGAAAGACGGUCUUGCUGUCACUUAUAGAUGGAUCCGCGCCGCAUUAGCUAGUUGGUAAGGUAACGGCUUACCAAGGCAACGAUGCGUAGCCGACCUGAGAGGGUGAUCGGCCACACUGGAACUGAGACACGGUCCAG
Molecule: ribosomal RNA, 222 nt
Filed under: uncultured Staphylococcus sp.
Lineage: Bacteria; Bacillati; Bacillota; Bacilli; Caryophanales; Staphylococcaceae
Description: partial 16S ribosomal RNA
Rfam family: Bacterial small subunit ribosomal RNA
Source: RNAcentral